CUCACAGCAGUGGCCCACUCAGGCCCUUGAGACUUUGGCUUCGGACUAAGAGACCAUUGGAAUCUGUAGUUCUGAGGCCUUCAGACUUGACUUGGAUUGAGCCACGCUUCUGGCCUCCCCGUUUCUCCGGCUUGCAGACGGCUCAUCGUGGGACUUCCCUGUUUCCAUAAUUGGGAGAGAAUUUGGACACAGGCAUGCAUACGGGGAGAACAUCGUGCAUACAGGGAGAACAUCAUGCAUAUGUGAAGACAGCCAUUUACCAGUCGGGGAAAGUAGCCUGGAACAGAGUUUCUCUUCGGAGCACUCAGAGGCAACCCUGUCAAUAUCUCGAUUUCAGACUUCUGGCCUCUAAAACUCUGAGACAAUAAAUUUCUGUUGUUUAAGCCA
Molecule: long non-coding RNA, 387 nt
Organism: Homo sapiens (human)
Lineage: Eukaryota; Metazoa; Chordata; Mammalia; Primates; Hominidae
Exons: 2
Source: RefSeq, a predicted model, not a curated record